This 210-nucleotide long non-coding RNA is filed under the name Elaeis guineensis (African oil palm). RNAcentral's name for it is "long non-coding RNA (EGUI_LNC044693)". Lineage: Eukaryota; Viridiplantae; Streptophyta; Magnoliopsida; Arecales; Arecaceae. The record is from RNAcentral.
AAUAUUUAUUAUUAUGUCUCUUUGGAUGAAUGAAUGCUUAGUAUCAUUUUUUGUUGGAUGGAUGAAUGUGGUAUCAUGCUCUAUUUUCUUGAUACUUGACUUAACACCAUGAACAUCCUACUCUUCUAGUUUAUUCUUUUUUUGAUGAUGUCAAAAAGGAAGAGAAAUAAUGAAACAUUAAAAAAUAUGUAAUAAUGAUAAAGGGGGAGA